This 73-nucleotide transfer RNA is filed under the name Ictidomys tridecemlineatus (thirteen-lined ground squirrel). RNAcentral describes it as "tRNA-Thr (CGT) (tRNA-Thr-CGT-5-1)". It matches the Rfam family "tRNA". Rfam says of the family: Transfer RNA (tRNA) molecules are approximately 80 nucleotides in length. Their secondary structure includes four short double-helical elements and three loops (D, anti-codon, and T loops). Lineage: Eukaryota; Metazoa; Chordata; Mammalia; Rodentia; Sciuridae. The record is from Rfam by way of RNAcentral.
UGGGAUGUAGCUCAGUUGGUAGAGUGUUUGCCUCGUAUGCACAAGGCCCUGGGUUCAAUCCCCAGCACCACAG